AGGCGCAUCAACCAAAGUCCAAACUUGGUUGGUAUACAUGGAGUUUAUUUCAAAUUUCAUGGCAUUAAGCUAUUUGUCAGAGUUGCUACUCAUGAUAGCUUUCGAAUAGGUCGUGGGAUCAUCAUUCUCAAUGAAGUGAGAUGUAUUAUCAUUCUCAAUGACAAAUUCAUACCUGAGUGGUACAUUAUGUACUUUACUUGACCUUCGAAGAGGAGUUGUGUGCAGUUGC
Molecule: long non-coding RNA, 229 nt
Filed under: Elaeis guineensis (African oil palm)
Lineage: Eukaryota; Viridiplantae; Streptophyta; Magnoliopsida; Arecales; Arecaceae
Description: long non-coding RNA (EGUI_LNC070692)
Source: RNAcentral